This 157-nucleotide ribosomal RNA is filed under the name Monilinia yunnanensis. RNAcentral's name for it is "Monilia yunnanensis 5.8S ribosomal RNA". It matches the Rfam family "5.8S ribosomal RNA". From Rfam's summary of the family: 5.8S ribosomal RNA (5.8S rRNA) is a component of the large subunit of the eukaryotic ribosome. It is transcribed by RNA polymerase I as part of the 45S precursor that also contains 18S and 28S rRNA. The record is from RNAcentral. Lineage: Eukaryota; Fungi; Ascomycota; Leotiomycetes; Helotiales; Sclerotiniaceae.
AAAACUUUCAACAACGGAUCUCUUGGUUCUGGCAUCGAUGAAGAACGCAGCGAAAUGCGAUAAGUAAUGUGAAUUGCAAAAUUCAGUGAAUCAUCGAAUCUUUGAACGCACAUUGCGCCCCUUGGUAUUCCGGGGGGCAUGCCUGUUCGAGCGUCAU